Molecule: ribosomal RNA, 925 nt
Filed under: uncultured bacterium
Lineage: Bacteria
Also listed under: 1 other name
Description: bacterial SSU rRNA
Rfam family: Bacterial small subunit ribosomal RNA
Source: RNAcentral
UGGAUCCAGACUUUGAUUCUGGCUCAGGAUGAACGCUAGCUACAGGCUUAACACAUGCAAGUCGAGGGGAAACGACAUCGAAAGCUUGCUUUUGAUGGGCGUCGACCGGCGCACGGGUGAGUAACGCGUAUCCAACCUGCCCAUCACUUGGGAAUAACCUUGCGAAAGUAAGACUAAUACCCAAUGACAUCCCACGAAGGCAUCCGAAUGGGAUUAAAGAUUUAUCGGUGAUGGAUGGGGAUGCGUCUGAUUAGCUUGUUGGCGGGGUAACGGCCCACCAAGGCAACGAUCAGUAGGGGUUCUGAGAGGAAGGUCCCCCACAUUGGAACUGAGACACGGUCAAACUCCUACGGGAGGCAGCAGUGAGGAAUAUUGGUCAAUGGGCGAGAGCCUGAACCAGCCAAGUAGCGUGCAGGAUGACGGCCCUAUGGGUUGUAAACUGCUUUUAUAAGGGAAUAAAGUGAGUCUCGUGAGACUUUUUGCAUGUACCUUAUGAAUAAGGACCGGCUAAUUCCGUGCCAGCAGCCGCGGUAAUACGGAAGGUCCGGGCGUUAUCCGGAUUUAUUGGGUUUAAAGGGAGCGUAGGCCGGAGAUUUAGCGUGUUGUGAAAUGUAGAGGCUCAACCUCUGCACUGCAGCGCGAACUGGUCUUCUUGAGUACGCACAACGUGGGCGGAAUUCGUGGUGUAGCGGUGAAAUGCUUAGAUAUCACGAAGAACUCCGAUUGCGAAGGCAGCUCACGGGAGCGCAACUGACGCUGAAGCUCGAAAGUGCGGGUAUCGAACAGGAUUAGAUACCCUGGUAGUCCGCACGGUAAACGAUGGAUGCCCGCUGUUGGCCUGAAUAGGUCAGCGGCCAAGCGAAAGCAUUAAGCAUCCCACCUGGGGAGUACGCCGGCAGCGGUGCAACUCAAAGGAAUUGACGGA